UUGGGAAUAUUGCACAAUGGACGACAGUCUGAUGCAGCGACGCCGCGUGAAGGAAGAAGGCCUUCGGGUUGUAAACUUCUUUUGUUGGGGACGAUUGUGACGGUACCCAACGAAUAAGGACCUGCUAACUACGUGCCAGCAGCAGCGGUAAUACGUAGGGUCCGAGCGUUGUCCGGAUUUAUUGGGCGUAAAGAGUAUGUAGGUGGCUUGAUGUGUCGGAUUUGAAAUCUCCAGGCUUAACUUGGAAUUUGGAUCCGAAACUAUCUAGCUUUGAGGGUAGCAGGGGCAAGCGGAAUUAGCGGUGUAGCAGUGAAAUGCGUUGAUCUCGCUAAGAACACCAAUGGCGAAGGCAGCUUGCUAGGUUACCUCUGACACUGAGAUACGAAAGCGUGGGGAGCGAACGGG
This 405-nucleotide ribosomal RNA is filed under the name uncultured bacterium. Its description in RNAcentral is "bacterial SSU rRNA". It matches the Rfam family "Bacterial small subunit ribosomal RNA", at positions 355 to 776 of the family's 1533-position model. The record is from RNAcentral.